RNAcentral lists this ribosomal RNA (2722 nucleotides) under Enterobacter cloacae. RNAcentral describes it as "bacterial LSU rRNA". It matches the Rfam family "Bacterial large subunit ribosomal RNA". The record is from RNAcentral. Lineage: Bacteria; Pseudomonadati; Pseudomonadota; Gammaproteobacteria; Enterobacterales; Enterobacteriaceae.
GGGGGAACUGAAACAUCUAAGUACCCCGAGGAAAAGAAAUCAACCGAGAUUCCCCCAGUAGCGGCGAGCGAACGGGGAGCAGCCCGGAGUCUGAAUCAGCUUGUGUGUUAGUGGAACGGUCUGGAAAGUCCGACGGUACAGGGUGAUAGUCCCGUACACGAAAGCACACAUGCUGUGAACUCGAAGAGUAGGGCGGGACACGUGGUAUCCUGUCUGAAUAUGGGGGGACCAUCCUCCAAGGCUAAAUACUCCUGACUGACCGAUAGUGAACCAGUACCGUGAGGGAAAGGCGAAAAGAACCCCGGCGAGGGGAGUGAAAAAGAACCUGAAACCGUGUACGUACAAGCAGUGGGAGCCUCUUUAUGGGGUGACUGCGUACCUUUUGUAUAAUGGGUCAGCGACUUAUAUUCUGUAGCAAGGUUAACCGUAUAGGGGAGCCGAAGGGAAACCGAGUCUUAACUGGGCGUUAAGUUGCAGGGUAUAGACCCGAAACCCGGUGAUCUAGCCAUGGGCAGGUUGAAGGUUGGGUAACACUAACUGGAGGACCGAACCGACUAAUGUUGAAAAAUUAGCGGAUGACCUGUGGCUGGGGGUGAAAGGCCAAUCAAACCGGGAGAUAGCUGGUUCUCCCCGAAAGCUAUUUAGGUAGCGCCUCGUGAACUCAUCUUCGGGGGUAGAGCACUGUUUCGGCUAGGGGGCCAUCCCGGCUUACCAACCCGAUGCAAACUACGAAUACCGAAGAAUGUUAUCACGGGAGACACACGGCGGGUGCUAACGUCCGUCGUGAAGAGGGAAACAACCCAGACCGCCAGCUAAGGUCCCAAAGUCAUGGUUAAGUGGGAAACGAUGUGGGAAGGCACAGACAGCCAGGAUGUUGGCUUAGAAGCAGCCAUCAUUUAAAGAAAGCGUAAUAGCUCACUGGUCGAGUCGGCCUGCGCGGAAGAUGUAACGGGGCUAAACCAUGCACCGAAGCUGCGGCAGCGACACUAUGUGUUGUUGGGUAGGGGAGCGUUCUGUAAGCCGUUGAAGGUGUGCUGUGAGGCAUGCUGGAGGUAUCAGAAGUGCGAAUGCUGACAUAAGUAACGAUAAAGCGGGUGAAAAGCCCGCUCGCCGGAAGACCAAGGGUUCCUGUCCAACGUUAAUCGGGGCAGGGUGAGUCGACCCCUAAGGCGAGGCCGAAAGGCGUAGUCGAUGGGAAACAGGUUAAUAUUCCUGUACUUGGUGUUACUGCGAAGGGGGGACGGAGAAGGCUAUGUCAGCCGGGCGACGGUUGUCCCGGUUUAAGCAUGUAGGCGGAGGUUCCAGGUAAAUCCGGUACCUUGUUAACGCUGAGGUGUGAUGACGAGGCACUACGGUGCUGAAGUGAUAAAUGCCCUGCUUCCAGGAAAAGCCUCUAAGCAUCAGGUAACACGAAAUCGUACCCCAAACCGACACAGGUGGUCAGGUAGAGAAUACCAAGGCGCUUGAGAGAACUCGGGUGAAGGAACUAGGCAAAAUGGUGCCGUAACUUCGGGAGAAGGCACGCUGAUGUGUAGGUGAAGCCCCUGCGGGUGGAGCUGAAAUCAGUCGAAGAUACCAGCUGGCUGCAACUGUUUAUUAAAAACACAGCACUGUGCAAACACGAAAGUGGACGUAUACGGUGUGACGCCUGCCCGGUGCCGGAAGGUUAAUUGAUGGGGUUAGCGGCAACGCGAAGCUCUUGAUCGAAGCCCCGGUAAACGGCGGCCGUAACUAUAACGGUCCUAAGGUAGCGAAAUUCCUUGUCGGGUAAGUUCCGACCUGCACGAAUGGCGUAAUGAUGGCCAGGCUGUCUCCACCCGAGACUCAGUGAAAUUGAACUCGCUGUGAAGAUGCAGUGUACCCGCGGCAAGACGGAAAGACCCCGUGAACCUUUACUAUAGCUUGACACUGAACACUGGUCCUUGAUGUGUAGGAUAGGUGGGAGGCUUUGAAGCGUGGACGCCAGUCUGCGUGGAGCCAACCUUGAAAUACCACCCUUUAAUGGCUGGUGUUCUAACGUAGACCCGUAAUCCGGGUUGCGGACAGUGUCUGGUGGGUAGUUUGACUGGGGCGGUCUCCUCCCAAAGAGUAACGGAGGAGCACGAAGGUUGGCUAAUCCUGGUCGGACAUCAGGAGGUUAGUGCAAUGGCAUAAGCCAGCUUGACUGCGAGCGUGACGGCGCGAGCAGGUGCGAAAGCAGGUCAUAGUGAUCCGGUGGUUCUGAAUGGAAGGGCCAUCGCUCAACGGAUAAAAGGUACUCCGGGGAUAACAGGCUGAUACCGCCCAAGAGUUCAUAUCGACGGCGGUGUUUGGCACCUCGAUGUCGGCUCAUCACAUCCUGGGGCUGAAGUAGGUCCCAAGGGUAUGGCUGUUCGCCAUUUAAAGUGGUACGCGAGCUGGGUUUAGAACGUCGUGAGACAGUUCGGUCCCUAUCUGCCGUGGGCGCUGGAGAAUUGAGGGGGGCUGCUCCUAGUACGAGAGGACCGGAGUGGACGCAUCACUGGUGUUCGGGUUGUCAUGCCAAUGGCACUGCCCGGUAGCUAAAUGCGGAAGAGAUAAGUGCUGAAAGCAUCUAAGCACGAAACUUGCCCCGAGAUGAGUUCUCCCUGAGACUUUAAGUCUCCUGAAGGAACGUUGAAGACGACGACGUUGAUAGGUCGGGUGUGUAAGCGCAGCGAUGCGUUGAGCUAACCGAUACUAAUGAACCGUGAGGCUUAACCUU